UCAAUUUCGAAUCGGAAACGGAAACGGGAACUGUGGAUAAAGUGUGUGUGUGGUUGACAGCGAACAAGCGGCAAGUAUGUCGUCACAGUUGUGUCACUAUCGACACCCACACACCGACAACCAGAGCGUGUAUUCCAGUCCAUAGGUGUGUGAGUGUGGCCACAGUCAACCCUUUUGAUGUCACUUGAAUUUUAAUGAAAAAUUCACACAUGCCACAAGCGUACAAGAAGAACAGGAGGCAAAGGAGCCGCCACCCACUCACCACCCACUUUCAUCCGCUGCAGCAGCUUGUCUACUGCCACUUUGUGCAUUACGUUCCUGUCACAUCGGUGGGUGGAUUGUACCGGGCUCGAAGGUGUGUGCAUGAUCUGAUGGGGUGUGGUCAAACCAGGUUCUGUUCUGGACGUUGACAGGCUUAGUCUCAGCGGAACCAUUCACGCUGGACCCCGCAAGUACUUCACCAUCGAGGCACUGCGAGAAAAAGUCUGCUCUCUCCACAAAAUUAUUUAAUAUAAAGGUUGAUUAUCCUUUUCAAAAUUGGAUGCGCUGCUAAGCUAAAACAGUUCAGAUACAAAUGAACUUGAGAUUUUCAUAUAAUUUAGAAUUACACGUUAAAGUUGACUACUUUCCAGUGGAUUUGCACACACCAGUGGGUCACAUAGUUAUAGACCAUGACGCUGAUGACCGACAAGCGCAGACACAGCGACGACAGUAGUGGGAUGAACUGAACUCCGACCCGUCCUGCGACUGCAACUCUGGCUCCAAUUUAGAAAGGUACUCGCUCAACUUCAAGUCCAACUCGUAAAAGGACUCUCCUUGAACUGUUGCAAGGAGCAAAUGCAUGACAUAUGGGCCAUAAUGAAUUUGGAUGCACAACCAACCAAUGGGAUUAUUUCGUCUGGAAGUCCAACAGUUACUCGGUUAUAGGUAAAGUAUAGGAUUACCUACUUGUACUGCGUACCGAAAAUAAUGAUAAUGAGGUAGACAAGCAUUCCGUGCACAUUAUGCGAUCAAAGGCGGUCUAAGCUGCUCCAUAUAAGCGUAUAAAUGCUCCCGGCUUCCACAUUUAUACUACCCAUUCUCGGCUUCACACUUAAUCUCACAAAUGCACUCUAAUAUGAUUAAGCACGUUUUUAGCUGACAAAUAAAUCAAGUGGCGAGCGGCAAGCGCGCUUAUGAAACCCACAGCCAUCUCCUCUCCUGGCAAUCCAAACAAACAAAGGCAGUCACCCACACAAAUAAACGGACGUAUAUCCCACCCAGCGACGUCUGCGAAAUAAACGUCUAUAUGGCUGCGAGUGCAAGUGCGAAAUAU
Drosophila melanogaster (fruit fly) is the source of this 1315-nucleotide non-coding RNA. NCBI's taxonomy places the organism in Eukaryota, Metazoa, Arthropoda, Insecta, Diptera, Drosophilidae. The record is from Ensembl.